UACGUAGGGUGCAAGCGUUAAUCGGAAUUACUGGGCGUAAAGCGUACGCAGGCGGCUUUGCAAGACAGAUGUGAAAUCCCCGGGCCUAACCUGGGAACUGCAUUUGUGACUGCAUGGCUAGAGUCUGUCAGAGGGGGGUGGAAUUCCACGUGUAGCAGUGAAAUGCGUAGAGAUGUGGAGGAACACCGAUGGCGAAGGCAGCCUCCUGGGCCAGCACUGACGCUCAUGCACGAAAGCGUGGGGAGCAAACAGG
Molecule: ribosomal RNA, 253 nt
Filed under: uncultured bacterium
Lineage: Bacteria
Description: partial 16S ribosomal RNA
Rfam family: Bacterial small subunit ribosomal RNA
Source: RNAcentral